CGCGCAGGCGGUUAUGCAAGCUUGGUGUGAAAGACCGCAGCUCAACUGCGGGAACGCGCUGGGAACUGCAUGACUAGAGUUCAAGAGGGGAAGCUGGAAUUCCUGGUGUAGGGGUGAAAUCUGUAGAGAUCAGGAAGAACAUCAGUGGCGAAGGCGAGCUUCUGGCUAUGAACUGACGCUGAGGCGCGAAAGCGUGGGUAGCGAACAGGAUUAGAUACCCUGGUAGUCC
RNAcentral lists this ribosomal RNA (229 nucleotides) under uncultured bacterium. RNAcentral's name for it is "partial 16S ribosomal RNA". It matches the Rfam family "Bacterial small subunit ribosomal RNA", at positions 568 to 796 of the family's 1533-position model. The record is from RNAcentral.